AGAGUUUGAUCAUGGCUCAGAACGAACGCUGCGGCAUGCCUAACACAUGCAAGUCGAACGAGGGCUUCGGCCCUAGUGGCGCACGGGUGAGUAACGCGUGGGAACCUGCCCUGUGGUACGGAAUAACUCCGGGAAACUGGAGCUAAUACCGUAUGUGUCCUGUGGGACAAAGAUUUAUCGCCAUGGGAUGGGCCCGCGUAGGAUUAGCUUGUUGGUGGGGUAACGGCCUACCAAGGCUUCGAUCCUUAGCUGGUCUGAGAGGAUGAUCAGCCACACUGGGACUGAGACACGGCCCAGACUCCUACGGGAGGCAGCAGUGGGGAAUAUUGGACAAUGGGCGCAAGCCUGAUCCAGCAAUGCCGCGUGAGUGAUGAAGGCCUUCGGGUUGUAAAGCUCUUUCGCACGCGACGAUGAUGACGGUAGCGUGAGAAGAAGCCCCGGCUAACUUCGUGCCAGCAGCCGCGGUAAUACGAAGGGGGCUAGCGUUGUUCGGAAUUACUGGGCGUAAAGGGCGCGUAGGCGGUACUUCAAGUCAGGCGUGAAAGCCCCGGGCUCAACCUGGGAACCGCGCUUGAGACUGGAGAACUAGAGUUCGGGAGAGGAUGGUGGAAUUCCCAGUGUAGAGGUGAAAUUCGUAGAUAUUGGGAAGAACACCGAUGGCGAAGGCAGCCAUCUGGACCGACACUGACGCUGAGGCGCGAAAGCGUGGGGAGCAAACAGGAUUAGAUACCCUAGUAGUCC
Molecule: ribosomal RNA, 741 nt
Filed under: uncultured bacterium
Lineage: Bacteria
Description: bacterial SSU rRNA
Rfam family: Bacterial small subunit ribosomal RNA
Source: RNAcentral